UUCUUAUCGAGAGUGGUGGAGGGAUUAGGCCCUGCGAAGCCACGGCAACCGGUCCUAAUAAAGGAUGCUUGGUGCUAAAUCCUACCUGUCGCGCGAGUGGAGCGCGGCCGGGGAUAGAUAAGAG
This 124-nucleotide non-coding RNA is filed under the name Candidatus Omnitrophota. RNAcentral describes it as "Candidatus Omnitrophica SAM-I sequence". It matches the Rfam family "SAM riboswitch aptamer (S box leader)". From Rfam's summary of the family: The SAM riboswitch is found upstream of a number of genes which code for proteins involved in methionine or cysteine biosynthesis in Gram-positive bacteria. The record is from RNAcentral. Lineage: Bacteria; Pseudomonadati.